AGUGAACGCUGGCGGUAGGCCUAACACAUGCAAGUCGAACGGCAGCACAGUAAGAGCUUGCUCUUACGGGUGGCGAGUGGCGGACGGGUGAGGAAUACAUCGGAAUCUACUUUUUCGUGGGGGAUAACGUAGGGAAACUUACGCUAAUACCGCAUACGACCUACGGGUGAAAGCAGGGGAUCUUCGGACCUUGCGCGAUUGAAUGAGCCGAUGUCGGAUUAGCUAGUUGGCGGGGUAAAGGCCCACCAAGGCGACGAUCCGUAGCUGGUCUGAGAGGAUGAUCAGCCACACUGGAACUGAGACACGGUCCAGACUCCUACGGGAGGCAGCAGUGGGGAAUAUUGGACAAUGGGCGCAAGCCUGAUCCAGCCAUACCGCGUGGGUGAAGAAGGCCUUCGGGUUAAAGCCCUUUUGUUGGGAAAGAAAAGCAGCAGGUUAAUACCCCGCUGUUCUGACGGUACCCAAAGAAUAAGCACCGGCUAACUUCGUG
RNAcentral lists this ribosomal RNA (490 nucleotides) under uncultured bacterium. RNAcentral describes it as "partial 16S ribosomal RNA". It matches the Rfam family "Bacterial small subunit ribosomal RNA", at positions 29 to 507 of the family's 1533-position model. The record is from RNAcentral.